Molecule: long non-coding RNA, 26263 nt
Filed under: Lactuca sativa (garden lettuce)
Lineage: Eukaryota; Viridiplantae; Streptophyta; Magnoliopsida; Asterales; Asteraceae
Description: long non-coding RNA (LSAT_LNC003478)
Source: RNAcentral
GCUCAACCCCUUGAUGUCCGCAAUCGUCCAUCCCAUGGCUUCUUUAUGCUCCUUCAACACCUUGAGGAGUUGCUCUUCUCCAGAUUCGGUUAAGUGAGUUGAAAAAUGAUGACCGGAAGAGUCUUGUUGUUUCCUAAGUACGCUUACUUCAAAUGUUGUGGAAGGACCUUCAAUUCUAAUUCUGGUGGUUGAACAAGGGAGGGUGGCAAUCUUGUGUGAGUUUGAGGUAAUUCAAUUUGCUUCACACUAAAUUGAGUGGUCUUCUUGAUCUCUAGAUUGUUAACCAAUCUUUCAACUUCGAGGUCUAGUGAGUAGAGCUUCAACUUCUUGGCUAACUUUCCACAAUCAUACCCUUUUCUCAAAACCAUCUCCAACAUGUCAUCAUUAGACAACUCGAACAACUCUUGGGUUAAUGGUUCAAUAACAUCAACAAAACACAAGGAUGAAACAUCAUAGGAUAUCUCAUAGCAUCAUAAAUGUUAAAACUUAUUAUUUCACCAUCAAACUCCAUUGUUAAGCUUCCCGCAUACACAUCAAUCUUUGUUCUAUCUGUCUUCAAGAAUGGUCUCCCAAGUAAAAUUAUACCCGACUUUGAGGACACUUGUUCAUUUAGAUCAAUCACAUAGAAAUCCGUCGGGAAGACCAGUUGGUUUACUUACACUAGGACAUCUUCCAAAACAACUCUAGGAAAGACACUUGAUUUAUCCGCAAGAGAGAUUAUGACACCGGUUUCACUUAAAGGUCCAACAUUCAAUGAUUCAUACACCGAACAUGGCAUGAAAUUAAUAGAAGCACCAAGGUCAAGCAUGACACUACUAAAAGUGACAUCUCCUAUCUUGCAAGGAACCGUAAACAUUCCCGGAUCUUUGCACUUGGGUGGAAGCUUCCUUUGUAAAACCACGAAUGCAUUUUCGUUCAUUGAAAUUUUCUCAUUUCCCUUCAAUUUCUCUUGUUGGUACAAAGUUCUUUCAAAAACUUUGCAUAUCUUGGGAUUUGCUUAAUUGCAUCAAGUAGAGGGAUGUUUACUUCCACCUUUCGGAAGGUGUCCAAAAUCUCUUUCUCCUCCAUUUUCUUCUUUGAAGUUGCAAGUCGGGAGGGGAAUGGCGGUUGAGUGGCUAUUGGAGUCACUAGACGGGUUGUCUUCUUUAGGGCUCCGGCUUGUGCAUCAUUCUUUACUAUAGAUUCUUAAAUGGGAAUGACUUCUAUUUCUUCCUCUUCAUCCCUUGGCUUCUUCUUUGAACUACUUUCCCCGGUUUGUUUGCCACUUCUCAAGGUCACCACAUUGCCAUUUGGGUUCUUUUCAGUUUGGGAAGGGAGUUUACCACGGGACUACAACUGCUUAUGGAUGUGACUAUAUCUCCCAUUUGUGCUUCAAGGUUGGAGAUACUAGUUCUUGUCUCUUUUUGGAAUUGUUGGGUACUAGUAGCUAAGGAUUUGACAAUUUCUUCAAGAGACAUUCCGGAGUUACUUAGUUGGGAUUGAGGAGGUUGUUGGUGAUGUUGUGGAGGGUGCGGUUUGGGUUGAUAAUGUGGUUGUGGAUGUUGGUAGUGAGGUUGUGGUGGUGUAUAGGAUGGUAUAACCAAUGCAUUUUGAGGCAAUGGUCUUGGGUUGUAGCUCAUGUUGGGAUUUGGCUUCCAACUCUAAUUAUAUGGAUUUUGAUAACCGGGUGGCUUGUUGUGGUAGUUUUGGAAUUCUCCCGUGGCAUUUACAUGUUCCGCAUCUUCUUGAAGAAUGGGGCACAUAUUCGUAGGAUGUCCCAUUGUUGCACAUAUUCCACAAACCAUCACUUGUGGAGUUUGUCCCAUGGCUAGCUUUUGGACAACGGAGGUUAGAUCUUUGAUUUGAGACUCGAGGUUCGAUGAUCCCACUUCAUUUACUUUGUGUUGUGUGUCUCUUUUCAUAUUUUGGCGCGGGCCAAAAUGUUGAGAAUUCGCGACUAUGGUGUUGAAAAGUUGUCUUGUUUGUUGUGAGGUUUUACUAAAGACAUCACCAUCACUUGAGGCAUCAACUAGUCUCCUCUCCAUUGGCAACAAUCCCUCAUAGAAGUGUUGAAUGAGGAGUUGUUCCGGAAUUUGGUGUUGUGGGCAACUAUAACACAAAUUGUUGAACCUCUCCCAAUAAUCAUGAAAAGUCUCAUUUUGACCUAGGCGGAUUCCACAAAUCUCAUUUCUAAGACUUGAGACUCUUGAAGCGGGAUAGAACUUAUCAAGAAAAGCUCUUGCCAUUUCGGUCCAUGAGUUGAUCGACCCCGAAGGAAGAUAGAAUAACCAAUCCUUUGCUCUAUCGGCCAAUGAAAAGGGGAAUGCCCUUAGCUUGAUUUGGUCAUCGGUUGACCCUUGUAGCUUCAUGCUAGUGCAAAUAAUGUAAAACAUCUUCAAAUGCUUACGUGGGUCUUCGUUCUCUAAUCCAUGAAAAGUUGGGAGGUGAUGGACUAAACUUGACUUCAAUUCCGAACCUCCUUCCAAAACCGGGUAGUUGAUACCGAUUGGAGUUUGUGUAACAUCAGUUUCCAUCAUUUGCCUCAAAGUUCUUUCAGGAGCUUCUCAUCCGUCCGCCAUUGUAAUUGGUUCAAUAAUGGGUGGAUUUUGUUGUAGAGGUGGUGUUUCGGGAAUUUCUUGGCGAGGGUCGGUACUAGAUUCGGGUUCCGUAUCACUUGAUGAAGCGGGUUCAACCUCCGGAUCCCCAUGAGGAUUAGAAGUUUGACCAUGUUUAAUUCGCUUUUCCUUCGCCAAACGCCUUGCUUCUUUUUCAAUUUCCGGGUUGUAAAUCAAGUCACCUGUACGCUGAGAUCUGGGCAUAGAGAAACAGAUUGAUUAAAAAUAAACCAAUUCCCGGCAACGGCGCCAAAAUUUGGUGGUCGUCGAGGCCAACAAAAUAAAUACCCUAAAUACUACACACUACAAUAGUGUAUAGUGGUAAAGGGAUCGUAUCCACGGAGAUUGGUUCAAUUUAAAUCUCUAUGUAAAUGACUUGUUCAAGUACUAGUAAAACAUAAAUAAAAGUAAAAUAGGGGGGUUAGUUCUUUUUGAUUGGUUGACAAAGUUAAAACUAGCUAAAAUGUAAAUAUGACAAGUAAACAAGUAAAAGAUUUGAUUAAAUUCAAUGAAGUGAAAUUGGUUGAUUUUGGGUACACCACAUGGAUGACAUGGUUGACUUAUAAUUAGACCAAAUGGAAUAACACUUAUGAAUUGGUUUAACUUGGCUAUAGCAAUUCAUAAGCACAAAUUACCUCAACUAUUCUUAAAUAUUAAAAUGGAUAGAGGAGCUCUUAAUACAUUUCCUUAAUUAAAGUCACAAAACUAAUGAAACGUAUAAUCUUGUGAAAAUCAAUUAGCUUUAAGUUCUAAGAGUUACCAAGUACAAAAGAUAAUCAAAUGCUUACAUUAUCAUUAUGGAGGAAACAUUUCCAUGGUCUAAAUGAAAUGAAAACAAACAUAUAAACCAUUUGUUGCUUACUAAUUUGAGGGUCCAUUACUUAACCAAGAAAUUAGUCAACAAAAAUAAGCAUUCAUUCAUCUAAGCUCAUGAUCAAAGAUAAAUAAACACAACAAGAUGUUUGACUAUAAAAUAUUUCCAUAAACUUCAAAGACAAGAUAAUAAUAAGUCUUCAAAGCAACUAAUUAUCCAUGGGUUAAACCCUAAUCAACCAAAUGAAAGUUUAGCCAAGCAUGGCCAAAGUAAGAGAACUGUAAUAUAGUUUAGUGGUACUAAACAUUGUUCUAGUUGCAAAAUGGAAAGAAAUUACAGUAAUCUUCAAAACAAAUCUUCAAAUCUUCCAAAGCCUUCUUGGGAGAGAAUGGUAUGUGUUCUUUAAGUCAUCAUAUGCUAUAAUACCUCCACCCUCCAGCAAAAAGGAGUUGGUUUCCGGAUUUAAAAAGGUGCCAAAAGCCUCCCACCAACCUUCCACAAAUAGGGUCAACAAGUUAAAACCCGGCUUCAUUUCAUCAUAAUUCACACAGACCGCGUAUGGGUCCAUGCGGACCGCGUGGGUCACGCUGAAUGUGGGACUUGGGCCAUUUAAAAUACAAUCUAGCCCAAUUUUCUCAUUCACACUUCAUCCCACAUGCAUAGCUCUUUAUAGCUCAUUUGUGCCUUUCCAAAGCCUCUAAUGAUUGAUCCAAUGCUCCUUCAAUCUUCCAUAGCUCGAGUCCGCGUCGCCUCAUCAUCAUUCUUGCUCAAAUAUUAAGUCCAAAUUGAUUUCUUGUUUAUGCUAACACCAAGCUCAAUCGCACCACUUCAGAUCCACAAGCAACUCGCAAGCCUCCAUAAGUCUCACACUCCUUCGAAGCCUCUAAUAACAAAUAGUCUUCGAUAAAUCCUGCAAAUAAGGUUAAAAGACUGGAAAGCACUCGGUAAAGGAGAAAAAUAACAAAAAGAGAAAAUAUGUAUGAAGAUUAACUAAAAUGAGAUGGCUUUAACUAAAAAUAAACUAUGAAAAGAAGUAAUAAAAACGAAACUAUCAGAAGUACUUAAAAUAUAACCCAAAAUUUAGCGUGAUCCCUAAAGUACCAACACACAAACAAAUAACAUAUACACUAACAAUAUGUCAGGUCCAAACCAUGGGUUGGAAUACCCCAGGCCCAUCAACAAUCGGGUUGGAAUGCCAAUAAACUAUGGGUCCAGUCAACCAUCAGAUUAGGAUACCCCAAGCCCAUCAACCAUCGGGUUGGAAUGCCAACAUACAAUGGGUCAUGUCAUCAUAAGGAUGGAAUACCCUCGGACCCGCUCAACCAUCGAGUCGGAAUGCCCCCGGUCUGUUGGCUCACGCACAAAGCAGUAAAGCCUCAACCACCAACCAAAUAUGUGGACAUAUACAUAACAUAUAUAAUCAGCCAACAGAUAAACAAACAGAUCUAUUGAUCACUAAGCAUAGAAACAUCCUAUAUACCAGGAUACAGAUCUAACAGAUCACUACAGCUUGAUAACAUACUAUCGCAUAACAAGAUAUCAAAUCCAAAUGGCUGGUCUUGGUGACUUCGACUCGCAAGUACAGUGAGGAAACCUCACCUCGCAAACUGGACAAAGUUGAUGAGGUCUCGACUCCGAAUGUCAGCUCUCUAACCAACACCUAUUCCAAACAAAUGACCAAUCUCCAUCAAAAUCCCAAAAUUUCCUAAAAUAUCCUUAAGGUUAAACUUGGUCAAAAUCAAAGUCAAAGUCAGCUGGUCGAACCAACUAAGUUAACUGAGUCAACCCAAACGAGUCAACUCAAUCGAAUUGACCUAGUGUAAGUACGCGGGGAGUACUCCGAUGGUACGCAGGGCGUACUCCGUUCUCGCAUGUUGACCACCAUCGGGAUGGUUUACUUCGUACAUAGGGCGUACUCAUAGAAGUCUAAAACUCCAUUAAGAGCUUAAUGCCUUAAGCUCUUACGUCCAUACUUUAGGUCCAUGACUAAAAUACUCUUAGGAGUCAUAAAGUCUCCAACUUUAUGACUUAGCAUGACCAAUAAGUGUUUAGCUCAAGGUCUUUUUCCAUUAAGACCUUCUAAAUGAUGCAUAAAGCAAAACUAACCAUUUGGAACCCAUUUUAUGACUUAAGACCCCUCCUAUGGUCUAAAAGGAUAUCUUAAAGGUCAAGAACAUGCCAUGUUCAAGUUCUAACAUUUUGGGACCAAAAAGCUCCAUAAAGACAUCCAAAACUGGAUCUAUAUGUUAGAGGGAUAAAGCUGCAAGCUUUAUAUAUUAGGAAGGUUGCAAAUGAUGUAGAAAUCCUAGAUCCAAGUGUUUCCCUCCAUGAAGAUGAGCUUGGCUUCCUCCCUUCUUCUUCUAAGGUACCAAAAUACACACUCUAAGCUUGAAAAGGCUCCUCAAGGUGAAACUAUGGUUGCAAGGACGUAUGAGAGGGAUGGAGGCAGAUAAGGUGGAUGAAAUGAGGCCAUACGAGUGCUUAAAUACGAGUCACACCCUAAAAAUUAGGAUUUCCAUAUCUGGCAAGUACGCCUAGCGUACACUGAUGUACGCCCCGCGUACUAGGGCGCGCCCUAGUAUGCUCAAUGUACACGGUAUAUCACGUACGCAUUGCGUACUCCCAAGGCCAAAAUUAAAAAAAAAAUGCCACUAUGGCUCCUUUUGCACACUUUCUUGAACAUAGGGACCAAAAUGCUACAUAAUUAAAUUAUAGGGUUGAAAUCAAAAGUACCUUAUCAUCGGGAUUUUACGUUAGAGCGUGUUAAUAUCUUUUAGUACAAAGAUAGAAUAACAAUCAUGAAUUACAUCAAGUCAUAAUCAAAUUAAACAACAACAUUGAGAACUAGAACUAGAACCAUUCUAACAAACUGUUUACAAAUCUUUUUAGUUUUCCACAUGUUUUCAAAGUAGAUUGUUAUUUACAUUAUUUCAGAUUUUGCAUAUACCCCCCCCCCUUUUUGUGACUAAAGUACCUUGUGCAAAAAGGUAUAGACUUUUAUCCCAUGUCUCUAAGGAUCAACCGUGCUUGCCUCAUACUACUUUAUAGUGCAUUACAAUAAUGUAUUUGGAGUCUAUUGUGCCUAUAUUAUUCAUUGGGUUUGACACACCUAACAUAAACAUUUUGGAACCCUAUGAGGGUGGACGGUUUUGAGAAGUUUCGGAAGGCUUCUGGAACUAUCUCUGGUAGUUGAUAAUGUUAUGAUCUGAAUCUGGAUUAAAUCUGAUUAUUUAAUUGAUUCAAAUCCGUUUUGUCUGCAAGCUACCUCAAGUAUAAUUAGAAUCCUAUGGCCUUUGAGAAAAUUGAUCCAACAUGCUGAAAGGCUUCAGAAUUCGGUUUUGAUAGCGUCCCUCCUCUCUCCUAACUACUAUAUGGUUUUAGUUUUUUGGGUGUGACCCAUUCGAGACAUUCUACUUUGGGUGCUAGUCUUUCCAAGUAAUUGCAAGGAAUUCAAGAUCUUCAAAGGAAUCACAAGUAUAUAAGACUAUACUUGAAAGUUUAAUAAUCCUCUCCCUUUUGAUAGUUAAAAUUCAUAGUUUUGAAGGUAGGCUGCUAUAAUAGUAAAACCUAGAUCUAGGGUGCAGGUACACUUAGGAUUAUUUUUGAAUGCUUCCGUUUCCUACAUCUAAUGUAACGACCCGUCUCCGGUAUGAUGAUUCCUUGGUAUUUAUUUUGAAGUUUUGCAAGAGGGACUCGGCGAGUUCAUAGCCUGACUCGCCGAGUAGGGACGGGAUUUCGAGCACGUGUUAGCUGGCGACUCGGCGAGUCUGUCCGUUUGGGAGAAACCCUAAAUCCCCGGGUUGCCCACUAUUUAAGCCACCUUAUGGCCUCCAUUCUCGCCUCCUUCACCCUCAGAAGCUGUGAGAAAACCCUAAUUCGUUCUUGAGUGAUUCUAAGUGAUUUUGUGUGCAAUUGUGAAGGCUUGAAGAAGGAGAAGAAGAAAGGAGCAAGGAGAAGGAUUGUAGAGCAGAGAUUCAAGGGAAAACAAGAGUUCUUUGAGGUAUUCUUCGGAUUUCCUUCCCUUUUAUGCUUUAAAACCCCCUCUAGAUCUAGUUGAUGCUUUUCUCAAGCCUUAUGUUGAUAUGGAAGCCCUUUUAUGUCAAGAUAUCUUUAGAUCUGUUCAUUUAGGAGUUGUAGAGCCCAUAUCUAUUGCCUUUAUGGAGCUAUUUUGCAUCAUAACCCUAGAUCUACCCUUUAAGUGCCUUUUUAGCCUUUAUUCCCUUGUUCAUGUGUUUGUACACGUAAAGUUGGAAACUUUACGUGGUAAAUCAGCUUAUUGGACUCAGAUCUAUCAUUUGUAUGUUUUGGAUUCGAGCAGAAUCGAGUGUAGAAUAGUUGCAUGGCGGUGACUCGGCGAGUCGGAAGAACGACUCGGCGAGUCGAGUCGCGAGUCCCCGAUUUCUUCCUUUUGAGCGGUGUCGAGUGGGACCAGUGAGUAGUGGAGUGGACUCAGCGAGUUUGAGGGUAGACUCAGUAAUGGAGGGACUCGGCGAGUUGUUCAUACAACUCGGCGAGUCCAAGGCAAUCUUCUUAAGCUCAAGAACAACUCGUCGAGUUGUUCAUAUGACUCGGCGAGUCGGAUGAAGAUUGUCUGAGUUCUUGGAUCGAGAGGGUACUCGUCGAGUCGAUGCCAUACUCGACGAGUAGCAGCGAGUAGGGUCGAGGAGUGAGAAUAGGGACUCGGCGAGUUGGCGGCCCAACUCGGCGAGUCAGGUCAACUGUGGGUUGACUUUGACCGAGAGUUGACUUUGACCAAGGGUAAAAGAGUCAUUUUACCCAGUGCAGUGUUUAGUAUUUGAUUGAGUGUGUUUAUGGACUUGUAGCCGGGGAGAUACCGGAGCAGCAGCAGUUAGCCCUCAGAGCUAUUCACUCAGCAGCCAGUUCACGAGGUGAGUUUCCUUUCAGUAGGAACGGGUCUACGGCCACAAUGCCGGCCCGUUUAAUUAUCAGUAGUUCCGGACUUUGGUCUGAUGCAGUAGCUAGAGUGCUUGAUGUCUUUGUGAUUCAAGCAUAUUUGUGUUAUGUGUUCCGGACUCUGUUCCGAUGCAGUAUGCAGUAUAUGUGAUUAUAAUAGUUGUUAUGUUUUAUGCUAUGCCAUGAUCAGUCAGUUCCGGACUUCGGUCCGAUGCAGUCAGUUCCGGACUUCGGUCCGAUGCAGUUAGUUCCGGACUUCGGUCCGAUGCAGUCAGUUCCGGACUUCGGUCCGAUGCAGUUAGUUCCGGACUCUGGUCCGAUGCAGGGGACAAGGUCCCAGUCAGUUCCGGACUUCGGUCCGAUGCAGCUAGUUCCAGACUUCGGUCUGAUGCAGUGGGCAAGGCCCAGUAUGUGCUUUAUAUGUAUUGUAUGGUAUGUGGUAGUUUGGGGGAGCUCACUAAGCUUCGUGCUUACAGUUUUAGUUUUGGUUUCAGGUACUUCCGCAAGCAGAGGGAAGAGCUCGGGAUGAUGGCAUCGCACACACCACAGCUUCAGCUUUUAUCCUGGGAGUUGAUUUAGUUUUUGAUUUGUUAUGACAUAGAUAUGGUACAGUUUUCCGCACAGUGUUUUGUUAUGUUGAGAUAUAUUACGUAUGGUUUUAUGAUAUGACACUCAGAUUAUGGUUUUUAGUUAUAUUGAAAAAUGAAAUUUUUGGGUCGUAUUUUUGGGUCGUUUCAAGUUGGUAUCAGAGCCCUGGUUUGAGGGAUUCGGAUACACUUCCGGGUGUAUCUGAACUCAAACUAAGGGGAAAUAAAAAGAUUUUUUUAAGGAAAAUGUUUUCUAAAAGAAUUUUGAAAGCACUUAGAAAGAAAGAAAUUUUUAAACAAGAUAAGGGUGUGGUGCAUGCGAUCAGCCGAGCUCAAGUAAGUACUCCCAAAUUAUCCAUACAAGUUAUUUGUUCAGUUUCAGUUUCAGUAGAACAGCAUGCUAGUAUAGGACUAAGGAUCUAGGAGGAUGCCUUAUGUGCCUGCUUUAUGUGUUACAGCUUUAUGAGUAUUGCAUGCUAGUAUUGAGUAGACAGCAGUAGGAUAGCCUGUUUAGGUUAUGCCUGAUAGUAUGAGCUUAGCACUGUAUGCUAGAUCAGUUUCUCAUUUUGAGAAUAGUUUUGCCUGAGUAUGUUUCCUUUAUCCGAAUGCUGCCUGCUUCGUGCUUUGUGGGAAUUCUGAGUGAUGGAAGUUAGCCAUUAGGUGAACACGAUACACCACAUGUGAUCAGGGUUGAAUAAUCCCAGAGUGCUGGAACUGACCCUAUUGCGCAGCUCUUGUUUGAGUCCAACCGUUAUAGGGACGGGUCUUUUACUUGAAGGAUUAUCUGAUCUUCGUCACAUGUGAUGGUGUUCAGGUGAUGGUUAAUUAGCAUUAUAAGGAGACCUGCAGCAGCUGAGGACUAGUUGAGUUGAGUCUGAGGUUUCCCUGGGGCAAGCCUAGGAUGAGAGUAGCAGAGAUCAGUAGUAGUAGAAGUGACUUGGUGGAGUCAGGGCAGUUCUUGAAGAAAGUACGGAUAGAUGUGGAAGGUAGUAUGGGCCCGUACUACUGGAAGCAGAGGAUCCGUACUCGAAUCAAGAAAGGCUGAGACAAGACCAGGAAGCUAGUUGUAGUAUCAAUGAUCCCUCAAGAUAUUUCUGUUUUCUGAUGUAGUUGUGAUGUGUUUCAGAAUGGUGGUUUUGCGUUCGAGACCAGCAGCCGGCAGCGGAGGUGCCGGGGAGGGAUCAGGUUCAGGCUCGGGGGAUGAGCGCAUGGAUGAGCAGACCCGAGAGUUUCUUUCUUCGGAGAUUACGCGCAUCAUUAUAGAGCAGACUCCUGUGAUCUUCGGUUCGAUCAAGGAGGGGAUUCUAGAGCUGAUGGAUGAGAGACUGGGCACCUUCCGUGCCGAGGUGGCGGCCAUGAUGGGGUCGCGCACCCUUACCUUCAGGGAGUUCAGGGCAUGUGGAGCCCCGGACUAUCAUGGGGCGCGGGACCCCAUAGCGAGCACCAGAUGGUUGGCAGAUGUGGCCAACGCUUUCCGUACUAGCAGAUGUCCCGAGGGGGACAAGGUCAGAUUGGCGUCCUGUCUUCUGAAGGACAGGGCACGAGAUUGGUGGGAGGAGGUCGGGCAUGCCAUUGGGGAUGAUGCAGCAUUGGACGCCAUGACCUGGGCUGAUUUCUCUACCAGGUUCAGGGCGGAGUUUGCACCGGUCAUUGAGGUGCAACAGCUAGCUAGGGAGUUUCAGGACCUCACCCAGACUACAGAGACAGUGGCGGAGAUCACCGCCAAGUUCAGGGAGAGGGCUCUUCUCGUUCCUCAGUAUGUAGCUGAUGAGGAAAUGAAGAAGGCCCGUUAUCAUGAGAUGUUGCGGAGCGAUAUCCGCCAGUUUGUGAGCCGGUCCAGCUGUAAAACGCUGGAAGAUAUGAUUGCUAGAGCUCGGGAGAGGGAGAUUGAUCUCGAGAUGGAGAAGAAGAGGAAACCGGAGGCGGUUUCGGGUUCAGGCAGUUCGGGCAAAAAGCCCAAGGUUUCAGAUCACAGAUCUAGGAGUCAGCAGAGCCACGGUCGAUGUGGCAAGUGUGGGAGAUUGCACGAGGGAGCGUGCAAGGCAGGGAGUUCCGGCUGCUACAAGUGCGGUCGGAUUGGGCAUUUGAGUAGGGAUUGUACGGCCCCUGCUACUGCCGUCGCAGCAUCAGAUCUGAUUUGCUUUCAGUGCAAUCAGAGGGGACAUAAAAAGUCCCAGUGUCCGAGUUUAGCUGCAGCAGGGAAGGUGGCUGCACCUGCCCCUGCUACCUUGAGGAUUACAGAUGGCCGGCAGGGCCGAGCUGAUGCGCCAGUGGCGAAGAGUAGGGCGUUUCAGAUGACAGCAGAGGAGGCGCGAGCGACUCCUGAUGUGGUGACGGGUAUGUAUCUUCCCUUUUAUCUCUUUAUUAUUAUUGAUUAAAUGUUGCUUAUGAUUGUAUGUUUUAUUCAGGGUCGUUCUCUGUGAACGGCAUUUCUGCUUUGGUAUUAUUCGAUUCGGGGGCUACCCGAUCAUUCGUAUCUCUUGCGCUUAGCAAGAGAUUCAGUAGAGCUCCAGGGGAGCUGGAUUGUCCAUUAGAGGUUGAGAUAGCGGAUGAUAGGACCGUGAGGGUCGGCAGAGUGCAUAGAGGGUGUUCUCUUCAGUUAUUUGAUGAGCAGUUUUCAGUGGAUCUGGUACCUAUUCCCCUGCGAGGGAAUAAGGUUAUUGUGGGCAUGGAUUGGCUAAGCCCCAAUGGGGCGGUGAUUGAUUGUGAGCUUCAGCUAGUGAGGGUUCGCACUCCCAGUGGGGGAGAGUUAGUGAUUCAGGGCGAGAGGCCACAGCGAGGACCGACCUUUUGUUCCGCCGCAAGGGCGAGGCGCUAUGUUCAGCAGGGUUGCGCCGGUUUUGUAGCUUACGUUUUGGAUGCCCGGGAGAAGGGCAAGUCGACAGUUGAUGAUGUUCCUAUUGUUCGAGACUACCCGGACGUGUUUCCCGAGGAUUUGCCGGGGAUACCUCCUGAGAGACAGGUUGAGUUCAGGAUCGACCUCAUUCCUGGUGCGGCUCCGAUAGCCAAGGCACCGUAUCGACUAGCUCCCCCUGAGAUGCAGGAGUUGUCUACACAGCUGCAGGAGCUGUUAGACAAGGGUUUCAUUCGGCCGAGCAGUUCGCCUUGGGGAGCGCCGAUCCUGUUUGUGAGAAAGAAGGAUGGGUCGCAUCGUAUGUGUAUAGAUUAUCGGGAGUUGAAUAAGGUAACGGUGAAGAACCGUUACCCACUCCCGAGGAUAGAUGAUUUGUUUGAUCAGCUUCAGGGAGCGUCUUGGUUCUCCAAGAUCGAUCUACGCUCCGGAUAUCAUCAGAUGCGGGUUAGAGAUGAGGAUGUACAGAAGACUGCUUUCAGGACCAGGUAUGGUCAUUACGAGUUUGUGGUGAUGCCAUUUGGGCUCACCAAUGCUCCAGCCGCGUUCAUGGAUCUCAUGAACCGCGUGUGUAGGCCGAUGCUGGAUCGGUCAGUGAUAGUGUUCAUAGAUGAUAUCUUGGUAUAUUCCAAGACGCAGGAGCAGCACGAGGAGCACCUGCGGGAGGUGCUGGAGGUUUUGAGGAGGGAGAGACUUUUCGCAAAGUUCUCCAAAUGUGAGUUCUGGUUGCGCGAGGUGCAGUUCCUUGGUCACCUCGUCAACCAGAAGGGUAUUUUGGUAGAUCCGGCCAAGAUAGAGGCCGUGAUGCAGUGGGAGGUCCCGAAGUCUCCAUCUGAGAUUCGGAGCUUCCUAGGGUUGGCAGGGUAUUAUCGGAGAUUUAUUCAGGAUUUCUCCAAGAUAGCAGUGCCGCUCACCCGACUGACCAAGAAGUCAGUGGUAUUUCGUUGGGGUCCGGAGCAGCAGACAGCAUUCGAGACCCUCAGGCAGAGAUUGUGCGAGGCUCCGAUCCUUACCUUGCCAGAGGGAGUAGAGGACUUUGUAGUCUAUUGUGAUGCCUCGAUCACAGGUUUGGGAGCAGUUUUGAUGCAGCGAGGCCAUGUGAUAGCUUAUGCCUCGAGACAGUUGAAGCCUCACGAGGCUAAUUAUCCUACCCAUGAUUUGGAGCUGGGGGCAGUUGUGUUUGCCCUCAAGAUUUGGAGGCAUUACCUUUAUGGGGUCCGUUGUACUAUUUACACGGAUCACAAGAGUUUGAGGUACCUUAUGGAUCAGCCGAGUCUGAACAUGAGGCAGAGGAGGUGGUUGGAUGUGCUAAAGGAUUAUGAUUGUGAGAUCCUUUACCAUCCAGGGAAGGCCAACGUGGUGGCCGACGCCCUGAGCCGCAAAGUGUCGGCGGCCCCUAUCAGAGAUCUAUGUUUGAGGAUGACAGUGAUCACUCCGUUGUUGGAGCGGAUCAAGGAGGCUCAGGUGGAGGGCCUCAAGGAGGAGAGACAGAAGUGUGAGAGGAUCGUGGGCCGAGUAGCCUCGUUUGAUUAUGAUAGUCGUGGUUUGCUGACGCUUCACGGGAGAGUGUGGGUACCGUACUGGGGUGGAGUACGGCAAGUGUUGAUGGAUGAGGCUCAUAAGUCUCGGUUUUCUAUCCACCCAGGGGCGACGAAGAUGUAUCGAGAUCUUCGACCUGAUUAUUGGUGGCCCUGCAUGAAGCGGGACGUCGCCUGGUACGUUGAGAGAUGCCUGACCUGCCGGAAGGUCAAGGCGGAGCACCAGAGACCUCACGGCAAGAUGCAGCCGUUAGACAUUCCCGUGUGGAAAUGGGAGGACAUCACCAUGGAUUUUGUCACCAAGCUUCCCAGGACCGCACGAGGAGUGGAUUCGAUAUGGGUAGUAGUGGAUCGGUUGACGAAGAGUGCCCAUUUUAUCCCGAUCCAGGAGAGUAUAUCGGCGGAGAAGUUAGCCGAUAUCUAUGUGCGAGAGAUUGUGGCACGUCAUGGAGUGCCGGUAUCGGUGGUGUCAGACCGAGAUGUCCGUUUCACAUCCAGAUUCUGGAAGCGGUUCCACGACGAGAUGGGUACUCGUCUCCAUUUCAGCACCGCUUUCCACCCUCAGACGGACGGGCAGAGCGAGAGGACGAUUCAGACUCUCGAGGACAUGCUUAGGGCAUGUGUCCUAGAUUUCGGUGGCAGUUGGGAUACGUAUCUUCCGUUAGCGGAAUUCUCGUAUAACAACAGUUAUCAUGCGAGCAUUGAUCGACCUCCCUUUGAGAUGCUGUAUGGGAGGAAGUGUAGGACCCCGAUUUGUUGGGGCGAGGUCGGUCAGCGGGUCAUCGGGAGCACGGAGGUGGUGCUCAAGACGACUGAGUUGAUCCAGCAGGUCCGUAGUAGACUGCAGACUGCUCAGAGUCGGCAGAAGAGCUACGCCGAUAGGAGGCGUUCGGACUUGGAGUUCCAGGUGGGGGAUAUGGUCCUUCUGAAGGUCUCACCUUGGAAGGGUGUCAUCAGGUUCCGGAAGAGGGGCAAGUUGGGCCCCAGAUUUAUUGGUCCUUUCAGGGUUUUGGCCCGGGUGGGUCGGGUUGCUUAUCGGUUAGAUCUUCCUGAGGAGCUUAGUCAGAUCCACAACACUUUCCAUGUGUCUCAGUUGAGGAAGUGUUUGGUGGAUGAGUCAGCAGUCGUUCCCCUAGAGGAUAUUCAGGUUGAUAGCAGCCUGAAUUAUAUUGAGAGGCCGGUCGCGAUUCUGGACCGGAAGACCAAGACCUUGAGGAACAAGGUAAUUCAGUUAGUGAAGGUGCAGUGGCAACACCGGAAGGGAUCGGAAUGGACGUGGGAGGCUGAGGAGGAGAUGAGAGAGCACUACCCAGAGAUAUUUGCAGAUUCAGCCGUAGCAGACUUCGAGGACGAAGUCUGAGAUAAGUGGGGGAGAAUUGUAACGACCCGUCUCCGGUAUGAUAAUUCCUUGGUAUUUAUUUUGAAGUUUUGCAAGAGGGACUCGGCGAGUUCAUAGCCUGACUCGCCGAGUAGGGUCGGGAUUUCGAGCACGUGUUAGCUGGCGACUCGGCGAGUCCAUAUUCUGGACUCGGCGAGUCUGUCCGUCUGGGAGAAACCCUAAAUCCCCGGGUUGCCCACUAUUUAAGCCACCUUAUAGCCCCCAAUCUCGCCUCCUUCACCCUCAAAAGCUGUGAGAAAACCCUAAUUCGUUCUUGAGUGAUUCUAAGUGAUUUUGUGUGCUAUUGUGAAGGCUUGAAGAAGGAGAAGAAGAAAGGAGCAAGGAGAAGGAUUGUAGAGCAGAGAUUCAAGGGAAAGCAAGAGCUCUUUGAGGUAUUCUUCAGUUUUCCUUCUCUUUUAUGCCUUAAAACCCUUUCUAGAUCUUGUUAAUGCCUUUCUCAAAGCUUUAUGUUGAUAUGGAAGCUCUCUUAUGCCGAGAUAACCUUAGAUCUGUUCAUUUAGGAGUUGUAGAGCCCAGAUCUAUUGCCUUUAUGGAGCUAUUUUGCAUAUUAACCCUAGAUCUACCCCUUUUAAGCAUCUUUUAGCCUUUAUUCCCUUGUUCAUGUGUUUGUACACGUAAAGUUGGAAACUUUACGUGGUAAAUCAGCUUAUUGGACUCAGAUCUAUCAUUUGUAUGUUUUGGAUUCGAGCAGAAUCGAGUGUAGAAUAGUUGCAUGGCGGUGACUCGGCGAGUCGGAAGAACGACUCGGCGAGUCGAGUCGCGAGUCCCCGAUUUCUUCCUUUUGAGCGGUGUCGAGUGGGACCAGUGAGUAGUGGAGUGGACUCAGCGAGUUUGAGGGUAGACUCAGUAAUGGAGGGACUCGGCGAGUUGUUCAUACAACUCGGCGAGUCCAAGGCAAUCUUCUUAAGCUCAAGAACAACUCGUCGAGUUGUUCAUAUGACUCGGCGAGUCGGAUGAAGAUUGUCUGAGUUCUUGGAUCGAAUGAGUACUCGUCGAGUCGAUGCCAUACUCGACGAGUAGCAGCGAGUAGGGUCGAGGAGUGAGAAUAGGGACUCGACGAGUUGGCGGCCCAACUCGGCGAGUCAGGUUGACCGAGAGUUGACUUUGACCGAGAGUUGACCUUGACCGAAAGUUGACUUUGACCGAGGGUAAAAGAGUCAUUUUACCCAGUACAGUGUUUAGUAUUUGAUUGAGUGUGUUUAUGGACUUGUAGCCGGGGAGAUACCGGAGCAGCAACAGUUAGCUCCCAGAGCCAUACACACAGCAGCCAGUUCACGAGGUGAGUUUCCCUUCAGUAGGAACGGGUCUACGGCCACAAUGCCGGCCCGUUUAAUUAUCAGUAGUUCCGGACUUUGGUCUGAUGCAGUAGUUAGAGUGCUUGAUGUCUUUGUGAUACAAGCAUGUUUGUGUUAUGUGUUCCGGACUCUGUUCCGAUGCAGUAUGCAGUAUAUGUGAUUAUAAUAGUUGUUAUGUUUUAUGUUAUGCCAUGAUCAGUCAGUUCCGGACUUCGGUCCGAUGCAGUCAGUUCCGGACUUCGGUCCGAUGCAGUCAGUUCCGGAUUUCGGUCCAAUGCAGUUAGUUCCGGACUCUGGUCCGAUGCAGGGGACAAGGUCCCAGUCAGUUCCGGACUUCGGUCCGAUGCAGCUAGUUCCAGACUUCGGUCUGAUGCAGUGGGCAAGGCCCAGUAUGUGCUUUAUUUAUGUAUUGUAUGGUAUGUGGUAGUUUGGGGGAGCUCACUAAGCUUCGUGCUUACAGUUUCAGUUUUGGUUUCAGGUACUUCCGCAAGCAGAGGGAAGAGCUCGGGAUGAUGGCAUCGCACACACCACAGCUUCAGCUUUUAUCCUGGAUGAUUUAGUUUUUGAUUUGAUAUGACAUAGAUAUGAUACAGUUUUCCGCACAGUGUUUUGUUAUGUUGAGAUAUAUCACGUAUGGUUUUAUGAUAUGACACUCAGAUUAUGGUUUUUAGUUAUAUCGAAAAAUGAAAUUUUUGGGUCGUAUUUUUGGUCGUUUCAUCUAAUGUAAAUAUGCAUGAAAAAACUCAUCGGUUUCCACUACCUCCUUUUACAUUAAAUCACAAUCACUUAACAUGUAAGCGCAUUGUUACAAAAAGAAUCGAUUUGUCGGUCAUUAAAACGAAGAUCACUAGUUUAAUUGAGAUUAAAAACGAAAUUGAUUUCGUCCUAACAACGUGUAUAUGUAUUUGACAAAUAUAACGUUUUACGGUACGUCAGUACCCAACGUGGACAUGUUAUUUUUUUAUUUGACAUGCAUGCACAUGCUAAAAGAAAUUGUGGAUUUUUGAAGCUAAAAUUUUAAAUUUAUAAAACUUCUUAUAAUAAUGCAUAAAAAUAGACACAUACGCUAAAAAGCUUGCAUUUCCAACUACCACUCUAUUCAAAGUUCACAUUUUAUUAAUAGAUAUUUUGUAUCCAUUUUUUUAACUCAAUAAACAGAGUCUUUAACUCUUUACAAUAUCUAUCAUUUAACCGUCUUCAUGCUCAUAAAGUUUAACUUGUGUUUUGCAAUAUAUAUCAUAAAUAAACAAAAUAUGUCUUGAAAAGUAGAUUUUUUGUUUUCAAAAUAAUCUCUUUGUUUUGUCAUUUGUGUUUUCCAACUAGACAAUAUCCUUAUAUCCCCAUAGGGACCCUUGGUCCUUUAGGCCAUGUGAAGUGCUCCAAAUUAUGGCACCCAUUUAUAGCCAUCAUUAAGCAUGGAAUGACAAGUCACCAUACAGUUCAUCCCAAAACUUUACCACUUUGGAUAAACCAUCCAUCAUUUCCACCUUGUAUGACAUAACUAAAAAUAUAUACCAAAGCAACCAUUAUAAAUGGUAAAGCAUAUAAUAACUUAUUAAUUUUUUAUAUUAUUGAUAUUUUAUAUUAUUAUGAACUGCAACGGUUUUUAUAUAUAUUCUUUGAAAUGUUAUGUUUGGGUGAAUAUCAUGUUAGGAUUUAAGUGCUUCGACAAACAAUAGAACGAUUUCAAACAUAGUAUUAAUGCAAAACGAUCGAAAAACAAGAACACAAUAUUUAACGUGGUUCACAUAAUCAGAAUGAUCAGUUAUAUCCAUGGCUAACACGUAAUAGAUAUUUUAUUGAUUUAUGUCGAAUGACUUACAUACAUUAAGGUUACAUGAAUUCAAUGAAUAUAUACGGCAUAAUGACCUAAAAAUUUUCAAUAAGGUCAAGCUCAAAAAAACACUUACGAAACUGAUCCAAGAUUUGUUUUGAUGUCGUAUAUGAUAUAUGAACUAAUCAACAUAAAAUUUCUUCGUGAGCCGUUACCCCUGACCGACUAGCCCCACAACUUAACAUAUCCAAGUCAAGUACAUGGUAAAUGCCAUCCAUAUAGUAAAAACAUGAUAACCCAUGUAAACGGUCGGUACUUAAUAUGUAGACCUCAAUGUUUCUUAUACACAAGGUGUGUGUGACCACUCUAAUAAUAUGCAAUGAUCUGACGUUACACUAAAAUGCAUUGUCUUCAUUCUUUAUUGGUUACUUCAUUUUAAGUUUAGAUCCAAUAAUUUAAUUUUACGUUCAAGGUCAACAUGAAUAUACCAAAGUUUUUAAAAAAAAUGGUAAUUACAUCAAAAAGACUAUAAUAACAGAAUCCAAUUCCCAGAUAGGAAAAUAGAAAAAUAAUAAUUACAUUAAAAACAAUAUACAAUCACCAUCAAUGUUAAACUACUAAAAGGUGAAUAACAAAUAUAAUUUUGUUAAAUACAAGUUUAAUAUUUACAUUUAAAAUAGAUAAAUUAUUUCUUUUAAAACAACAAAAACAUACAAACUAAUAAAAACAAUAUACCGUAAUAAUUUUUUUGCAGUUACAUAUGUUAAUUUAGAGUAACUGGUUUUAAUAAAUUCGUUUUAUUUCAUUUAUUAAUUGUACGAUUGAAUUAAAACUGUUUAUAGUAAAUUCAUUUUAAAGUCAGAUCUACUUCUUAUACAUAUGUUAUAUGUAGUUUAAUAAAAGAAGUCUUAGAUGAAAACCAAAUAUGUCGUACAGAUAAAAGCUUCAUGAAGGUUGCAAUACAAACUUUAUAAGUGGCAUAAUUAAUUUAUUAUCAAAAAGCAUAACUAUGAGAUAUGAGAUAGUUAAUAUGAUACAUAUAUGUCUAUAAAAAAACUCUUAUACAUCAACUAUUAAUGUAUGAGUCAAACGACAUGAACUAGUUUGAGAGAAAAUAUACAAAAUUAAUUUUUUUUAUAUUACUUUUUGAAUUAUAUAUAUAUAUAUANNNNNNNNNNNNNNNNNNNNNUAUGUAUGUAUAUAUGUAUAUAUAUAUAUAUAUAUAUAUAUAUAUAUUACAACCAAAAAGCAUAAAUAUGAAAUAGUUAAUUUUUUUUAUAUUACCAUUUGAAUCAAAAGAAAAUAAAUAAAUAAACAAAAGUAAAAAAUCUUAAAUAAAAAACUUGAAAUUUUAAAAUAAAAUACAAUAAAAAUUUUAAAAACUGAAAUAAAAGAAAAAGUAAAUAAAUGGAUAUUUAAAGCAAAAAAAAAGUAAGAAAAACAAAAAAAAUAUAUGAAAAAAAAGUAUUAGUUUGGUAAUUAUUUUUCAAACCAUAUUAGAUUGAUAAAUAUUUUUCUCAAUAACUCUAUUUUGAUGAAAGACUCUAAUUAAAUACUAUAAAAGUGAUAUAUUUUUUGAACACGUGGCUAAAAAAAAAUACUGACCUCGAUAAUGACCUUACAAACUAAAUACCUAUUACACAAUGACAUAAUUGAAUUUCAUUAAAAUAGCCACUAGCUAGUUCGAAAAAAGGUUUUUUUGGAAAUAUUAUUUUAGUUUCGAAAUACUAAACUAUUUGUUAGAAAAUGUAACUAAAAAAUAAUAAAAAAUAAAAUAAAACUCAAAGAACAACAUGUAUUGGUUGAUGGUGAUUGAUCGGAGCCUUAAGAUAGAGUCACAGUUAAAUUCCUAAAUUUUAUUUUCAGACUGGUUUCUUUAAAUCCGAUGGUUCUCGACCGGCCACCAUUCAUGAAUUUCUAAAUCGUUUGACCAUCGAUCAAUCUGCAACUUUGGAAUGUGAGGUUACAUGUAUGGAGGUCAAUGGGACGAAACNUUGACAAUUGUUACUUCAAAACUUGCUACAUGCAUAUUCUUAAAAAAACAAUAUUUUACAGUGAUAAAGUGAUUACAAACUACUGGAUACAAACCGAUUAUUUCAAAGUGUUAUAUAUUACAUAACUUCCCAGUAUAGGAGUGCAAAAUACAAUAGUUCAAACUAUUCAUAAUCUUCUAUCAAUACAAUAGUUUCAAAAUAUUCAAAAAUCUUCUAUCAGUAUAUGACUAUACUGGAUGCUUAUCUCCUGCAAUUUGUUAAACAUUAAGAGGGUAAGCGGUGACGCUUAGUGAGUUCAAUAAUAAAUACAAUAUAACGUUAUGCCAUAUAUAUACUUAAAUAUGGCAGAAGUAAAGAGGAACAAUGAACAACAAGGGCAUAUGUGAAUUAUGUGACAAACUUUACAUAUCAAUCAUUGAUUUGAUUCAAAGAUAUACAAUCAAUGAGACAUAACAAUUUCCAUACUUGAUAUACAUCAAUAAAGCUUUGGCCCAAAUGGCACAGAAGACAUACAACUUCGGAUUAACAUUUUGGUAGAUUUCGGGCUUAUAGCCUUGUCUAACCUUCUGCCAAUAUCAUAGAAUAGAAAUCAUUCUCUUACGGAGACAUGUUCUACAUGGCCAGAGGCUACAUACCAGUACCAAUGUGAAUCUAAGUCCUUUCACUGAUCACAUGGUCAAAGAUAUUUCCUUGCUAUUAAAAAUAGCGAAUAAGAAUAACAUGGGAAAAUAACUCGGAAUAAUAACACUGAAAAGCACAUAGCACAUAUAAUACAUAACAUACAAUUGUUCAUAUAUAUUAAACUCACCGUUAAAUAACCGGGGGCUAAAAUAUUAAUUUGGGCAACACUUUGGCUCUAAAUAUGAUUUUCUUCGUUGAAAACCGGAAGUUUUCUUGAUAACCGGGCUCUGCGAAGGUAGAGCUUCAAAACCGAAAAGAUAAAUUUUUCGGGUUUCUCGGGAACUUCGGGACGUGUUUCGGGUGCUAAAACUAAUAUCAGGGCUUCGGGGGAUGUCAAAGUAGUAGAAAUAUGAAAUUAGGGGUGAAAGUGGCAAAAAUUCCAACAAAAACCAGGAGGUCUCGCACCCUUUAUAUAGGUGCGAGCCUCGGAUCCGAAGCAAGAAGAAGAGGGCAGGUUGCUGCGAGGUUCGGAACACAUGGCAGAAGGGGCGAGGCUCGGAUGUGAGAUGGGUGCGUGCCGGCUUCGAAUUGGUCCAACACUUCAGACACGGGGCGAAGUCAGAAACGAGGCGCGUUGUAAGCCUAUUGGACCGCAUCCUCGGUCAAAUCAGCAAGCAACACGCGUCGGACUCAGCGGGUGACUCACCGAGAUUAGCCUUAUCUAUGCGAUGUUUCUCGAAAAUUGUGCCCAAAUCUUCUAAAAUCAAUAACUUUCGCAUAUAAGCUCCGUUUUUGACGUUCUUUAUAUGCACGCGUAGGCGGGAAUAUAUUCUACAACUUUCGUUUAGACUUUGUCGGCUAAUUUUGACUUUAUUUUUAAUAUUAUUAUUUUUAACAGACCGGGACUGGAAAAUCCGUUAAAAAUUCAUAUCUUAUUCAUCCGACAUCCGUUUUCGUCGGACUUUUUACCGUUGUACUACUAUUGAUGACAUCUUCAAUUCUCGUUGAGGUUGUGUCAGCUAAAAAUCACUCGAUCUAAAAUUCGAGUUUUUAGCUGUCUACUGCUAAGCUGAAACUUAGAAAAAUCAUAACUUCCUCAUACGAAGUCAAAUUUUGGCGUUCUUUUUAUCGAACUUCUCGGUUUGACGAAUACUACAACUUUCAUUUAGAUCACUAAGGCUAAAAAGUAGUUUAUCAAAAACUCACUUUUUACGUCAUUCGGCGCCGUGCCGGUUUUGUCACGGAUCUUCGAUUGGUCAUAACUUCUUCGUUAUAAAUGUUUCUAACGAGAGUAUCUACAACUUUCAAUAAUAAAAUUUUACUUAUUCCAAAUUUUAUGUUUUCGUUAAAUUUCACUAUUUGACAUUUGAUUGGAAUCUCAUAAGACUUCCAAUACUUUCUGAAUGAUUCUAAGCAUAUUUUUACUUCAUUUCCAGUAAAAAUCAUCUGUUAGAACUUAACAUUCAAAUCCACAUAACAUUUCGUAAUAUUAUUCACUUUUAUAAUUUACAAUACACGAUAACUGAACGUGUAUGUUACACCUUGCCCCUAAAUUCUUGUGUUACCCUUCAUUACUUCCGUUCCUACACCCCCGAUUGAUUUUGGGCUAAAAGUACUUAUUUUUUAGGCUAAAAGAUGCUAUUUUUGGAAUAAAAGUAAUUAUUUGUAGCAAAAUUUUACAUGUUAAAAACAAAAUUGUUGUGGUAUCUCAAAAACAUUAUAUUAACAACUUAAAAACUUGAUUUUAGUUUGAAAUUUGGUAGCUCAAAAUCAUGAUAUUAUUUAUUAUAUUUAUAUAUUUAAUAUAUAGAAAUAUAUACUUAAUGAGACCCCCAUAGGGGUUUUGGGAUGAGAUUGCCCACCCCCGCCCUAACUUUUUUUUAAACAAAUACAUCCAUAUGAGAUUAGGGUCCCACAAGACUUUUUGAUAUCCAUAAUUGCAUGUGAAGAGAUUAAAAGAGCAUUGUGAUAUUGUGGUAUUGAUAAGUCUUCAGGUCCAUAUGGAUUUACUUUUGAAUUCAUUAGGAAGUUUUGAUAUCUAAUUGAGAUUGAACCUGACAUAAUUGUUGUGGUAAUGAAAUAUUUUAUUCUAGUAGGUUUCCAAAAUGGUGUAAACCUUCUUUUAUUGCUCUCAUUAUGAAAGUUUGUGAUGCUUAGUGUGUUAAAGAUUUCAUAUGAUUAAUCUAAUAUUCUUUCAAUAUAAAAUUGUUGGCAAAAUAUUAUAAAUAUGUUGAUAUUCGUUAUGGUUGGGUUGGCGAGUACUGAGCAGUUAAAUUUUAUUUAAGGGAGGCAAGUUUUAGAUUGUGUGAUGAUAAUGUAUGAGAUGGUGGUUUGGUGUAAGGCAAAGAACAUGAGAGUUGUGAUUUUCAAAUUUGACUUUGAAAAAACUUAUGAUUCGGCUUAUUGGCAUUUUCUUUGUAGGAUGGGUUUUGGUGACAAAAAGAGGAGGUGGAUUCAAAGGUGCUUGAAGUCUUCCAAAGGCUUAAUUCUAGUGAAUGGUUAUGCCACCGGUGAAUUUCAGAUUUUUAAGCGUCUUUGCCAGAGUGACCAUUUCUCGCCUUUUUUUGGUUCAUAUAGGCGAUGUAAAGCUUAAAUGUACCUAUUCAAGGUGUCAUUGAUCAAAACAUUUUCUUGUAUUCCUAUGAGUGAUGUCUCUUCCCUUGUUGUCUCUUAUUGGUAAUGUAAAUCUUACAUGUAGCUUUUCAAGGCGUUCUUGAUCAGAACCUUUUUCUAUUUUUUGAUGCUAGGAAUAAGAAAAACACUAAUUGGAUAGGGUGACUUUCAAAACCAUGGACUUGGUACUUCUUGAUGUAUUAUUUAGCUCCUUGCUAGUCAUUUUAAAAUUUUUAGUUCAAAAGAAGAAAAAUAAGGAGAAAAAGAACUAGUUCAAAAUAUAAAAAAAAUCGUUCGACAAUCAUCACUAGAACUACUUUGAACGUUGUACAAAGAAGAACCAUUUUGAGAAAGAAGAGGCAUUUCAAAAUUUUAGAAGAACUGGUAUUUAAGUCAUCACGUGCAUUACAACAAGGAACUCUUUGCAAUUAAUAAAGACGAAAACUAUAAAAAAAAUUAUGUAAAGAAUCAAAAUUUGACUUUAAAAUAUAGUAAUGAAUAAAAACAACAACUUAUAAAAUACCAAUAAUUUAAUUUUAAAACUAUGAAUGAUGAAACCGUUAGAUCAAAAUUUAUUGAUGAAAGUGUAAAUAUAAAAAUAGGCUAUGAUCAUAUGCUAAAUCUUGAUUUCAAGAGAGAUUCUUAUUUUGCAUAUUGUAUUAUAUGUUUGAAAAGUUGUAAUAUUAUAUGUUUUUAGCAAUUUUGGGUCUACAAAUAGAAAUUAAAAUGAACAAUUAUUUUUGUAUGUUGCAUAGACUUUCAAAAUUAACAUGUAUGUAAUAUGUAUUUGCGUGUUAAUUUUACAUGGUUAAUAAGUUAGACAAUAAUUGUAUGUUAUUAUUAAUGCAUUCAUUCAAAUCAACAUCAGAUGAUAGGUGUCAUCGCUUAGGGUUUGUGAAUUGAUAUUUGCAACGUUAGCUUUAGCCUUAUACCUACCCUUACCGCUUCAAAACCCUCGAGUUUGAUGAUUUGGUCGGUAUAAGAGCCAAACAGUUUAGGCGAGUAUGACCUUAUUCUUGGUAUAUAGUUUACUGUGUCGUUUUAGUAUUGGACCUGUGUCUUGUGAAUGUAUGCAGUAGUGCUCUUUAGGAUGGCUAGCUUGUCUUUUGUCCAUAAGCGGGGGAUUAACGAUUGUUAUUUCGUCGGUUUCUUUUCAUUCAAAGGAUGUGGUAAAGGAUUAAUUGUCACACUAUAUGCAUUAAUUAUACCUCUCUAUGGAGAACUAUGAUGUAAUUGAAGCAUGCCAAUACAAUUUUCCAGAAAAAAAUACAAGUUAUGAUUAUAUANAUAUAUAUUGCAAUAUGAAAUGUCUUUUUAGCCAAUCUUUUUCGUAAAUCAAUGAUAUAAUUCUUGCAAAAGUAAUAUAGUUCAAGUUUAUACUUUGAGAUAGAUAACAUUUGCGUAUACACCGGUUAUUUUACGAUUUUCGAAGUUAAAAGGGUCAUUAUGUAAUAUAUUUGAAGUAUUUAAGGUCAUUUGGAUGGUAUCUUCUAUAAAAACAAAAGAAAAAAAACAAUAACGUUGGUUUCUGUUUUGUCGAGAAAAGUAGUAAUUUCCAUAAUGAUAACAUAACACAACUUGUAAUGGGUGGAGUACAUGUCUUUAAAGCUGUAUACAUGUGGAUAUGACAAUUGUCAAAUCUGGGCAUGGAUAAAGGGGUAUACGUUAUUAAAUGCCAAAAAAAAAAAACAGUACAAUGGUUUAAACAUAAGGACUCUUUUGUCUUUUUGACCAAAUAUGGGCAUUUGAUUUCCAGCUCACUAGUCACUCCCUACCACAUCCACAGGUUUAAAAACUAACCCUAGUUGAAGUUUCAAAUUAACCAUGGUUAAGUUAAAUCCCUAUUAAACUCUCUUCUCGGUGUUGUAACUCCAUAAGUUCAUAACCUCCCCACUCACUCGAUACACUCGAUAGUAUACACUCAGUUUCAGGUUCCACUGCUUUUUGCUAAAGUGCGCCACCAUGGGCGCAUUACGCAUCAUCUUCCUCGUCGUCUCUCUUCUUUCCGCCGGCUCCGUCGUCUCCGCCCACAACAUCACGGCUAUCUUGUCGCAGUUUCCUGAGUACAGCGAGUUCAACAGCUACCUCUCACAGACAAAGCUCAGCGACGAGAUCAACAGCCGUGAAACGAUCACCGUUCUGGUGUUGAACAAUGGCGUCGUUUCGUCACUUGCCGCGAAACAUCCACUCUCCGUCGUCAAAAGCGUCUUGAGCCUCCAUAUCCUUUUAGACUACUACGACAACAAGAAGCUUCACGCCAUUUCCGACGGCACCACGCUCUCCACCACCUUGUACCAAACCACCGGAAAUUCCCCAGGAAACGUCGGAUUUGUUAAUAUUACAGAUUUGAAAGGAGGUAAGGUUGGAUUCGGCUCCGCCGUGUCCGGUUCGAAGCUCGAUUCUUCGUACACCAAGUCUGUUAAACAGAUUCCGUAUAACAUUUCGGUUUUGGAGAUCAACGCGCCUAUAAUCGCACCGGGGAUUCUAACAGCGCCUGCUCCAUCGGCUGAUGUUAAUAUUACUGGUUUGUUGGAGAAAGCAGGUUGCAAGACGUUUGUGAAGCUGAUUACUGAUACCGGAGUGCUGAAGGUUUUCCAGACGGCGGCGGAGAAGGGAUUGACGGUGUUUGCUCCGAACGAUGAAGCGUUUAAGGCCGCCGGUGUACCGGAUCUGAGCAAGUUGUCGAAUGCUGAGCUUGUUGCACUGUUACAAUACCACGCUCUCGCUACUUACACUCCGAAAGGCUCGUUGAAAACAACCAAGGAUCCGAUUAGCACACUGGCGACGAACGGCGCCGGAAAGUACGAUCUGACCGUUGAGACCGCCGGAGAUUCCGUUACACUUGAUUCUGGAUUUUCCACUUCGCGUGUUGCUAGCACGGUUCUCGAUUCGACGCCUCUCUGUAUUUUCACCGUCGACAAUGUACUUCUCCCCACUGAAUUGUUUGGUAAAUCUCCAUCUCCAGCUCCAUCUCUUUCACCGGAAACUUCUCCGGCGUCGUCUCCUGCACCUGCUGCUCUAUCUCCGGAACCUGCAGCAGCACCUUCCCCAUUCCUUUCUCCUCCCGCUCCUCCGACUUCAUCUCCCACCGCCGGUCCUGCUCCGUCAGAUGGCCCCACCGCCGACUCCCAAAAUAGCAAUGCUAGCAACGCCGUUGACAGCGUCAAAGCUCCGUCGGUUGUCCAUGCCACAUUUACGCUGUUGGUCUUGAUUAUGUCAUACGUUAUGCUUUGAAUCUGAUUUUCGAUUGUUUGCGCUCUUUUUGUUUA